This 464-nucleotide ribosomal RNA is filed under the name uncultured bacterium. Its description in RNAcentral is "partial 16S ribosomal RNA". It matches the Rfam family "Bacterial small subunit ribosomal RNA", at positions 28 to 507 of the family's 1533-position model. The record is from RNAcentral.
GACGAACGCUGGCGGCGUGCUUAACACAUGCAAGUCGAACGGAAAGGCCCUGCUUGCAGGGUACUCGAGUGGCGAACGGGUGAGUAACACGUGGGUGAUCUGCCCUGCACUUCGGGAUAAGCCUGGGAAACUGGGUCUAAUACCGGAUAGGAGCCAUUUUUAUUGUGAUGGUUGGAAAGUUUAUUCGGUGUAGGAUGAGCUCGCGGCCUAUCAGCUUGUUGGUGGGGUAAUGGCCUACCAAGGCGGCGACGGGUAGCCGGCCUGAGAGGGUGGACGGCCACAUUGGGACUGAGAUACGGCCCAGACUCCUACGGGAGGCAGCAGUGGGGAAUAUUGCACAAUGGGCGCAAGCCUGAUGCAGCGACGCCGCGUGGGGGAUGACGGCCUUCGGGUUGUAAACUCCUUUCGCUAGGGACGAAGCUUUUGUGACGGUACCUAGAUAAGAAGCACCGGCUAACUACGUG